RNAcentral lists this small RNA (125 nucleotides) under Marmota monax (woodchuck). The record is from RNAcentral. Lineage: Eukaryota; Metazoa; Chordata; Mammalia; Rodentia; Sciuridae.
GCUGGGUAUGGUGGCGCAUGUCUGUAAUCCCAGCAGCACGGGAGGCUGAGACAGGAGGAUUGUGAGUUCAAAGCCAGCCUCAGCAAAAGCGAGAUGCUAGGCAACUCAGUGAGACCCUGUCUCUA